This 777-nucleotide ribosomal RNA is filed under the name uncultured Neocallimastigales. RNAcentral's name for it is "partial large subunit ribosomal RNA". It matches the Rfam family "Eukaryotic large subunit ribosomal RNA", at positions 24 to 643 of the family's 3401-position model. Lineage: Eukaryota; Fungi; Neocallimastigomycota; Neocallimastigomycetes; Neocallimastigales. The record is from RNAcentral.
UAUCUCUGUAGAGUCUGCAUAUCAAUAAGCGGAGGAAAAGAAACUAACUAGGAUUCCCUUAGUAACGGCGAGUGAAGCGGGAAGAGCUCAAAUUUGAAAUCUUCAAGGUUUUACCUUGACGAAUUGUAGUUUAAAGAAGUGUUUUCUGUUGGUGUUUUGGUAAAAGUUCUUUGGAAUAGGACAUCAUAGAGGGUGAGAAUCCCGUAUUUGACCAUUACUUCCAGCGUUGUGAUACACUUUCAAAGAGUCGGGUUGUUUGGGAAUGCAGUCCAAAAUGGGUGGUAAAUUUCAUCUAAGGCUAAAUAUUGGCGAGAGACCGAUAGCGAACAAGUACCGUGAGGGAAAGAUGAAAAGAACUUUGAAAAGAGAGUUAAACAGUACGUGAAAUUGUCAAAAGGGAAGCGUUUGACACCAGUGUUGUUUUUCCGAAAAUCAAUUACGAAUGGCUUGAUUCUGUGUUGUAUUGACCUUAUCAGCUUUCUUCGCACUUUUUUUCGAGUCUUUCUUAAUGCACUUUUCGGUUAACAAGUCAACAUCAAUUUCUUUUGUUGUAAAAGAGUAUUCGGAAGGUGGCUUUCUUUUCGGAGAAAGUGUUUAUAGCCCUAUACUUCUACAAUCGGAGAGAUUGAGGUCUGCAGCGUAGAUCCUUCGGGGUUAGAUACACUUGUGCUAAGUUGUAGCUUUUCAUAGACAACUUGUUGACUAUGUUUAGUCAUGCGGCUUACUCGCUUGUGCUAUUUUACCUACGCUUAGGAUGUUGAAGAUGUAGCACAUCAU